GUACUGUCAAACGAAAUCGAGAAUUUCCACUUUAUUUGCAUAUUUUGCGCUAAUUCACGAUAAAAAACAUUGUUAAUUCUUUGUUAAAACUUACCAGGCAUCUUUUAGUUUUGUUUGUCCACGUCGAAAACCACUUUUGAGUAAAGGAUGGAAGACGAUGAUGAUGUGCCAUCCCUCUCAGCGGAGACAUUUGCAGCUCUACAGGAGUUCUACAACGAGCAGGCUCGGAGGCAGGAAAUAUUGAACCAGCUAGAGAGUAGUGACAAGCUCAAAGAGAAUAUAUUAUUUGAUGAGAAUUGGCAACUGAGUCAGUUUUGGUACGAUGAAGCUACGGUGCACUCACUAGUGAAGUUAGUGGACAAAAUAUUGCCCAACGGUGGGAAAGUGGCCCUCCUGUCUUGUCCCACACUUUUUGUGCCCGUCAAACGGCAGGUUGGGGAGAGAGCUACAGUGUCCCUCCUGGAGUUCGACAGACGAUUUGAAGUCCACGGUCCAGACUUCAUAUUCUACGACUACAACUAUCCAGACAGGCUGCCUCCCAACUUGGAGCAAUACGACCUGGUCAUCGCCGACCCCCCAUUCCUCUCCGAGGAGUGCCUCACUAAAACUGCACAGACUAUAAAACUACUAGCUAAAGAUAAAAUUGUCGUAUGUACAGGUGCUAUUAUGAAGGCACACGUGGAGAAGUUGCUAGAGUUAAAAUUAUGCCAAUUUCAGCCGCGUCAUAGAAAUAAUUUGGCCAAUGAAUUCUCGUGUUAUGCCAAUUUUGAUCUGGAUGGAGUGCUGAGGUGAUGAUUGCUUGGGUUAUGAAUUAUGAUGUCGUUAAGUUAAUUGGACUUCGAUUUUUUGUCUUAAAAUACCAAACAUCUGUUGUACAAGACUAUCUAAAAUAUAUAAUAUUUUGAAAGUCAUUGUAAAUGUUAAUUCCGAUACGUAUAUAGGGUUAUGUUCAGUGACGUGUCGUUCCCAGGAAUAUUCCUACUUUGGGAAUAUUCCCGGCAGUAAAAAGGCGCAAAACCCAUGUAAAUAAAAACUUUUACUACCUAAUCUUUAGGCAGACAAGACCAGGGGGGUUAAAAUAGCCACAUUGAAGCAAUUAAUCUAAGAAAGCAAUAUUGCUUUUUGACAGUUUGCAUUGCGCACUUACUUUUAUAUGCGCAAAUGUCAAAUUGCAAUAUAGCUUUCUUAGAUGAAUUGCUUCGAUGUGGCCAUUUUAACCCCCAUUUUAACAAGAAAGAACAAUUUGAAAAAGAAAAGCCUGUGUCCUUACUAUUAAAGAGUUCUUGCAACGGGAACAUUCUCUCUUUGGGAAC
Molecule: RNA transcript, 1313 nt
Organism: Pectinophora gossypiella (pink bollworm)
Lineage: Eukaryota; Metazoa; Arthropoda; Insecta; Lepidoptera; Gelechiidae
Gene name: EEF1A lysine methyltransferase 1
Exons: 5
Source: RefSeq, a predicted model, not a curated record